CUAUCCCGUCGCAACUGGCGAGGGUGGACACCACCGGGGAGCGGCAACCUGACGCCUGACCGGUCGUCCGCCUGGGCCGGGAAG
Molecule: non-coding RNA, 84 nt
Filed under: Buchananella hordeovulneris
Lineage: Bacteria; Bacillati; Actinomycetota; Actinomycetes; Actinomycetales; Actinomycetaceae
Description: Actinomyces hordeovulneris ZTP sequence
Rfam family: ZMP/ZTP riboswitch aptamer (pfl RNA motif)
About the family: Previously known as pfl RNA. ZMP is also known as AICAR.
Source: Rfam by way of RNAcentral